Molecule: ribosomal RNA, 1436 nt
Filed under: uncultured bacterium
Lineage: Bacteria
Description: bacterial SSU rRNA
Rfam family: Bacterial small subunit ribosomal RNA
Source: RNAcentral
GUUUGAUCAUGGCUCAGAACGUACGCUGGCGGCACGCCUAACACAUGCAAGUCGAACGAAGUAGCAAUACUUAGUGGCAGACGGGUGAGUAACAUGUAGGUAUCUACCCUUUGGCCUGGAAUAACACGAGGAAACUUGUGCUAAUACCGGAUAAGUCUUUACGGAGAAAGCUUUAUGCACCAUUGGAUGAGCCUGCACUUGAUUAGUUUGUUGGUAGGGUAAUGGCCUACCAAGACUGUGAUCAAUAGCUGAUUUGAGAGGAUGAUCAGCCACAUUGGGACUGAGACACGGCCCAAACUCCUACGGGAGGCAGCAGUGGGGAAUCUUGCACAAUGGAGGAAACUCUGAUGCAGCGAUGCCGCGUGAGUGAAGAAGGCCCUUGGGUUGUAAAGCUCUUUCGUCGGGGAAGAAAAUGACUGUACCCGAAUAAGAAGGUCCGGCUAACUUCGUGCCAGCAGCCGCGGUAAUACGAAGGGACCUAGCGUAGUUCGGAAUUACUGGGCUUAAAGAGUUCGUAGGUGGUUGAAAUAGUUGGUGGUGAAAUCCCAGAGCUUAACUCUGGAACUGCCAUCAAAACUUUUCAGCUAGAGUUUGAUAGAGGAAAGCAGAAUUUCUAGUGUAGAGGUGAAAUUCGUAGAUAUUAGAAAGAAUACCAAUUGCGAAGGCAGCUUUCUGGAUCAUUACUGACACUGAGGAACGAAAGCAUGGGUAGCGAAGAGGAUUAGAUACCCUCGUAGUCCAUGCCGUAAACGAUGUGUGUUAGACGUUGGAAAUUUAUUUUCAGUGUCGCAGCGAAAGCGAUAAACACACCGCCUGGGGAGUACGACCGCAAGGUUAAAACUCAAAUGAAUUGACGGGGACCCGCACAAGUAGUGGAGCAUGUGGUUUAAUUCGAAGAUACGCGCAGAACCUUACCAACACUUGACAUGUUCGUCGCGACUUUAAGAGAUUAAAGUUUUCGGUUCGGCCGGACGAAACACAGGUGCUGCAUGGCUGUCGUCAGCUCGUGUCGUGAGAUGUUGGGUUAAGUCCCGCAACGAGCGCAACCCUCACUUUUAGUUGCCAUCAUUUAGUUGGGCACUCUGAAAGAACUGCCAGUGAUAAGCUGGAGGAAGGUGGGGAUGACGUCAAGUCCUCAUGGCCCUUACGUGUUGGGCUACACACGUGCUACAAUGGUAUUUACAACAGGAAGCAAGACGGCGACGUUAAGCAAAUCCUUAAAAAAUACCUCAGUUCGGAUUGCACUCUGCAACUCGAGUGCAUGAAGCUGGAAUUACUAGUAAUCGUGGAUCAGCGUGCCACGGUGAAUGCGUUCCCGGGUCUUGUACACACCGCCCGUCACACCAUGGGAGUUGGUUCUACCUUAAGGCAAGGUUUAAAACCCUUGACUACGGUAUAGUCAGCGACUGGGGUGAAGUCAUAACAAGGUAGCCGUA